This 390-nucleotide ribosomal RNA is filed under the name uncultured bacterium. Its description in RNAcentral is "bacterial SSU rRNA". It matches the Rfam family "Bacterial small subunit ribosomal RNA", at positions 29 to 420 of the family's 1533-position model. The record is from RNAcentral.
ACGAACGCUGGCGGCGUGCUUAACACAUGCAAGUCGAGCGGUAAGGCCCUUUCGGGGGUACACGAGCGGCGAACGGGUGCGUAACACGUGGGUGACCUGCCCUCAGCUCUGGGAUAAGCCUGGGAAACCGGGUCUAAUACCGGAUAUGACUCCAUGACGCAUGUUGUGGGGUGGAAAGCCUUGUGCGGCUGAGGAUGGGCCCGCGGCCUAUCAGCUUGUUGGUGGGGUGAUGGCCUACCAAGGCGACGACGGGUAGCCGGCCUGAGAGGGCGACCGGCCACACUGGGACUGAGACACGGCCCAGACUCCUACGGGAGGCAGCAGUGGGGAAUCUUGCGCAAUGGGCGAAAGCCUGACGCAGCGACGCCGCGUGAGGGAUGACGGCCUGGU